This 550-nucleotide ribosomal RNA is filed under the name Trichoderma sp. AH-Group-11. Its description in RNAcentral is "eukaryotic LSU rRNA". The stretch from base 166 to 319 matches the Rfam family "5.8S ribosomal RNA". Lineage: Eukaryota; Fungi; Ascomycota; Sordariomycetes; Hypocreales; Hypocreaceae. The record is from RNAcentral.
CAACCAUGUGACCAUACCAAACUGUUGCCUCGGCGGGGUCACGCCCCGGCCNAGANCNAGCCCCGGAACCAGGCGCCCGCCGGAGGGACCAACCAAACUCUUUUCUGUAGUCCCCUCGCGGACGUUAUUUCUUACAGCUCUGAGCAAAAAUUCAAAAUGAAUCAAAACUUUCAACAACGGAUCUCUUGGUUCUGGCAUCGAUGAAGAACGCAGCGAAAUGCGAUAAGUAAUGUGAAUUGCAGAAUUCAGUGAAUCAUCGAAUCUUUGAACGCACAUUGCGCCCGCCAGUAUUCUGGCGGGCAUGCCUGUCCGAGCGUCAUUUCAACCCUCGAACCCCUCCGGGGGGUCGGCGUUGGGGAUCGGGAACCCCUAAGACGGGAUCCCGGCCCCGAAAUACAGUGGCGGUCUCGCCGCAGCCUCUCCUGCGCAGUAGUUUGCACAACUCGCACCGGGAGCGCGGCGCGUCCACGUCCGUAAAACACCCAACUUCUGAAAUGUUGACCUCGGAUCAGGUAGGAAUACCCGCUGAACUUAAGCAUAUCAAUAGCNG